GCCUUCAUGGUGUAGUGGUCAGCACGCUCGACGAGUAACCGAGUGGUCCGUGGUUCAAGUCCCGGCGAAGGCC
This 73-nucleotide transfer RNA is filed under the name Stegodyphus mimosarum. It matches the Rfam family "tRNA". Rfam says of the family: Transfer RNA (tRNA) molecules are approximately 80 nucleotides in length. Their secondary structure includes four short double-helical elements and three loops (D, anti-codon, and T loops). Further hydrogen bonds mediate the characteristic L-shaped molecular structure. tRNAs have two regions of fundamental functional importance: the anti-codon, which is responsible for specific mRNA codon recognition, and the 3' end, to which the tRNAs corresponding amino acid is attached (by aminoacyl-tRNA synthetases). tRNAs cope with the degeneracy of the genetic code in two manners: having more than one tRNA (with a specific anti-codon) for a particular amino acid; and 'wobble' base-pairing, i.e. permitting non-standard base-pairing at the 3rd anti-codon position. Lineage: Eukaryota; Metazoa; Arthropoda; Arachnida; Araneae; Eresidae. The record is from Rfam by way of RNAcentral.